GUCUACGGUCAUGCUACCCUGAACAAACCUGAUCCCGUCUGAUCUCGGAAGCUAAGCAGAGUUGGACCUGAUUAGUACUUGGAUGGGAGACCACCUAGGAAGACCAGGUGCCGUAGCUG
This 119-nucleotide ribosomal RNA is filed under the name Pteropus alecto (black flying fox). The record is from RNAcentral. Lineage: Eukaryota; Metazoa; Chordata; Mammalia; Chiroptera; Pteropodidae.